This 426-nucleotide ribosomal RNA is filed under the name Actinomycetota bacterium. RNAcentral's name for it is "bacterial SSU rRNA". It matches the Rfam family "Bacterial small subunit ribosomal RNA", at positions 1 to 421 of the family's 1533-position model. Lineage: Bacteria; Bacillati; Actinomycetota. The record is from RNAcentral.
UGGAGAGUUUGAUCCUGGCUCAGGACGAACGUUGGCGGUGCGCUUAAUGCAUGCAAGUCGAACGAGAACCGUUCUUUCCGUAAGGAUCGAGCGGGGACAGUGGCGAACGGGUGCGUAACACGUGAGAAACCUGCCCCAGAGACUGGGAUAACCCAAGGAAACUUGGACUAAUACCGGAUACCUUCCUUCUAUCACAUGAUGGAUUGAAUAAAUGGUCCGCCGCUCUGGGAUGGUCUCGCGGCCUAUCAGCUAGUUGGUGAGGUAAUGGCUCACCAAGGCAAAGACGGGUAGCUGGUCUGAGAGGACGAUCAGCCACACUGGGACUGAGACACGGCCCAGACUCCUACGGGAGGCAGCAGCAGGGAAUAUUGCACAAUGGGCGAAAGCCUGAUGCAGCGACACCGCGUGCGGGAUGAAUGCCUUCGG